GAUGAACGCUGGCGGCGUGCCUAAUACAUGCAAGUCGAGCGAAUGGAUUAAGAGCUUGCUCUUAUGAAGUUAGCGGCGGACGGGUGAGUAACACGUGGGUAACCUGCCCAUAAGACUAGGAUAACUCCAGGAAACCGGGGCUAAUACCGGAUAACAUUUUGAAACGCAUGGUUCGAAAUUGAAAGGCGGCUUCGGCUGUCACUUAUGGAUGGACCCGCGUCGCAUUAGCUAGUUGGUGAGGUAACGGCUCACCAAGGCAACGAUGCGUAGCCGACCUGAGAGGGUGAUCGGCCACACUGGGACUGAGACACGGCCCAGACUCCUACGGGAGGCAGCAGUAGGGAAUCUUCCGCAAUGGACGAAAGUCUGACGGAGCAACGCCGCGUGAGUGAUGAAGGCUUUCGGGUCGUAAAACUCUGUUGUUAGGGAAGAACAAGUGCUAGUUGAAUAAGCUGGCACCUUGACGGUACCUAACCAGAAAGCCACGGCUAACUACGUGCCAGCCGCCGCGGUAA
Molecule: ribosomal RNA, 515 nt
Filed under: uncultured bacterium
Lineage: Bacteria
Description: partial 16S ribosomal RNA
Rfam family: Bacterial small subunit ribosomal RNA
Source: RNAcentral